Molecule: non-coding RNA, 438 nt
Organism: Photobacterium iliopiscarium
Lineage: Bacteria; Pseudomonadati; Pseudomonadota; Gammaproteobacteria; Vibrionales; Vibrionaceae
Source: Rfam
AUCGGCCUGUAAUUCAGACCUAUUUAUAUGUAACGUUAUGUUUUAGAAAACUUUCUUUGUAACGCUUUACCAGUGUCAUGAAGCUUUCCACGCAUAAGCUGUAACAUAAAUAAUUCUUUUUCUGGCUACAUUACGCAAUUUUGCGAAUUAUUUAAUUAAAAAUUGGAGACAGUCAUGUCUAAAUCAACUGGUAUCGUUAAGUGGUUUAAUGAAGAGAAAGGUUUCGGUUUCAUCACUCAAGACAAUGGCGGCGCUGACGUAUUCGUUCACUUCCGUGCUAUCACUGGCGAAGGCUUCAAAACGCUAGCUGAAGGUCAGAAGGUUUCUUUUGACGUAGAACAAGGCCAGAAAGGUCCUCAAGCUGCAAACGUUGAAGCUGCUUAAUUCGCACUCGCGUUAAACGUUUUUUAAAUACCGACAUAAUGUCGGUAUUUUUUU